This 37-nucleotide ribosomal RNA is filed under the name Chama florida. RNAcentral's name for it is "partial 18S ribosomal RNA". The record is from RNAcentral. Lineage: Eukaryota; Metazoa; Mollusca; Bivalvia; Venerida; Chamidae.
AGAAAUUGGCUGAGAUUCGAGAAACCACAGGUCUUUA